CCUACGGGGUGCAGCAGUGGGGAAUAUUGGACAAUGGGGGGAACCCUGAUCCAGCGACGCCGCGUGAGUGAAGAAGUAUUUCGGUAUGUAAAGCUCUAUCAGCAGGGAAGAAAGAAAUGACGGUACCUGACUAAGAAGCCCCGGCUAACUACGUGCCAUCAGCCGCGGUAAUACGUAGGGGGCAAGCGUUAGCCGGAUUUACUGGGUGUAAAGGGGGCGUAGGCGGUAAGGCAAGUCUGAUGUGAAAGGCCAGGGCUCAACCCUGGGAAUGCAUUGGAAACUGUUUAACUGGAGUGUCGGAGAGGCAAGUGGAAUUCCUAGUGUAGCGGUGAAAUGCGUAGAUAUUAGGAGGAACACCAGUGGCGAAGGCGGCUUGCUGGACGAUGACUGACGCUGAGGCUCGAAAGCGUGGGGAGCAAACAGGAUCAGAUACCCUUGUAGUC
RNAcentral lists this ribosomal RNA (443 nucleotides) under uncultured bacterium. RNAcentral's name for it is "partial 16S ribosomal RNA". It matches the Rfam family "Bacterial small subunit ribosomal RNA", at positions 338 to 795 of the family's 1533-position model. The record is from RNAcentral.